UACAGAGGGUGCGAGCGUUAAUCGGAAUUACUGGGCGUAAAGCGCACGUAGGUGGCGACGUAAGUCGGGUGUGAAAGCCCCGGGCUCAACCUGGGAAUUGCAUUCGAGACUGCAUUGCUGGAGUACGGAAGAGGAGGGCGGAAGUCCCGGUGUAGCGGUGAAAUGCGUAGAUAUCGGGAGGAACAUUAGUCGCGAAGGGGGCCCUCUGGUCCAGUACUGACACUCAAGUGCGAAAGCGUGGGGAGCAAACAGG
Molecule: ribosomal RNA, 253 nt
Filed under: uncultured bacterium
Lineage: Bacteria
Description: partial 16S ribosomal RNA
Rfam family: Bacterial small subunit ribosomal RNA
Source: RNAcentral